Molecule: transfer RNA, 59 nt
Filed under: Bacteriovorax sp.
Lineage: Bacteria; Pseudomonadati; Bdellovibrionota; Bacteriovoracia; Bacteriovoracales; Bacteriovoracaceae
Description: tRNA-Met
Rfam family: tRNA
About the family: Transfer RNA (tRNA) molecules are approximately 80 nucleotides in length. Their secondary structure includes four short double-helical elements and three loops (D, anti-codon, and T loops). Further hydrogen bonds mediate the characteristic L-shaped molecular structure. tRNAs have two regions of fundamental functional importance: the anti-codon, which is responsible for specific mRNA codon recognition, and the 3' end, to which the tRNAs corresponding amino acid is attached (by aminoacyl-tRNA synthetases). tRNAs cope with the degeneracy of the genetic code in two manners: having more than one tRNA (with a specific anti-codon) for a particular amino acid; and 'wobble' base-pairing, i.e. permitting non-standard base-pairing at the 3rd anti-codon position.
Source: RNAcentral
AGCUCAGUUGGUUAGAGCGAUGGAUUCAUAACCCAUAGGUGGGCAGUUCGAUUCUGCCC